GAUGAACGCUGGCGGCGUGCCUAAUACAUGCAAGUCGAGCGAACGGACGAGAAGCUUGCUUCUCUGAUGUUAGCGGCGGACGGGUGAGUAACACGUGGAUAACCUACCUAUAAGACUGGGAUAACUUCGGGAAAUCGGAGCUAAUACCGGAUAAUAUUUUGAACCGCAUGGUUCAAAAGUGAAAGACGGUCUUGCUGUCACUUAUAGAUGGAUCCGCGCUGCAUUAGCUAGUUGGUAAGGUAACGGCUUACCAAGGCAACGAUGCAUAGCCGACCUGAGAGGGUGAUCGGCCACACUGGAACUGAGACACGGUCCAGACUCCUACGGGAGGCAGCAGUAGGGAAUCUUCCGCAAUGGGCGAAAGCCUGACGGAGCAACGCCGCGUGAGUGAUGAAGGUCUUCGGAUCGUAAAACUCUGUUAUUAGGGAAGAACAUAUGUGUAAGUAACUGUGCACAUCUUGACGGUACCUAAUCAGAAAGCCACGGCUAACUACGUGCCAGCAGCCGCGGUAAUACGUAGGUGGCAAGCGUUAUCCGGAAUUAUUGGGCGUAAAGCGCGCGUAGGCGGUUUUUUAAGUCUGAUGUGAAAGCCCACGGCUCAACCGUGGAGGGUCAUUGGAAACUGGAAAACUUGAGUGCAGAAGAGGAAAGUGGAAUUCCAUGUGUAGCGGUGAAAUGCGCAGAGAUAUGGAGGAACACCAGUGGCGAAGGCGACUUUCUGGUCUGUAACUGACGCUGAUGUGCGAAAGCGUGGGGAUCAAACAGGAUUAGAUACCCUGGUAGUCCACGCCGUAAACGAUGAGUGCUAAGUGUUAGGGGGUUUCCGCCCCUUAGUGCUGCAGCUAACGCAUUAAGCACUCCGCCUGGGGAGUACGACCGCAAGGUUGAAACUCAAAGGAAUUGACGGGGACCCGCACAAGCGGUGGGGCAUGUGGUUUAAUUCGAAGCAACGCGAAGAACCUUACCAAAUCUUGACAUCCUUUGACAACUCUAGAGAUAGAGCCUUCCCCUUCGGGGGACAAAGUGACAGGUGGUGCAUGGUUGUCGUCAGCUCGUGUCGUGAGAUGUUGGGUUAAGUCCCGCAACGAGCGCAACCCUUAAGCUUAGUUGCCAUCAUUAAGUUGGGCACUCUAAGUUGACUGCCGGUGACAAACCGGAGGAAGGUGGGGAUGACGUCAAAUCAUCAUGCCCCUUAUGAUUUGGGCUACACACGUGCUACAAUGGACAAUACAAAGGGCAGCGAAACCGCGAGGUCAAGCAAAUCCCAUAAAGUUGUUCUCAGUUCGGAUUGUAGUCUGCAACUCGACUACAUGAAGCUGGAAUCGCUAGUAAUCGUAGAUCAGCAUGCUACGGUGAAUACGUUCCCGGGUCU
This 1372-nucleotide ribosomal RNA is filed under the name uncultured bacterium. RNAcentral describes it as "bacterial SSU rRNA". It matches the Rfam family "Bacterial small subunit ribosomal RNA", at positions 28 to 1381 of the family's 1533-position model. The record is from RNAcentral.